GAUGAACGCUGACAGAAUGCUUAACACAUGCAAGUCGAUGGGGAAGUGGUGCUUGCACCAUGGUAACCAUGGCGGACGGGUGAGUAACGCGUAAGGAACUUGCCUGCGGGACUGGGAUAACAGCAGGAAACUGCUGAUAAUACCGGAUAAGGUCAUUAAGCUGCAUAGCUUAGUGAUCAAAGGAGACGCCUGCGGAGAGCCUUGCGUCCUAUUAGCUAGUUGGAGGGGUAACGGCCCACCAAGGCGAAGAUAGGUAGCCGGCCUGAGAGGGUGGACGGCCACAAGGGGACUGAGAUACGGCCCUUACUCCUACGGGAGGCAGCAGUGGGGAAUAUUGGACAAUGGGGGCAACCCUGAUCCAGCAAUUCUGUGUGCACGAAGACGGUUUUCGGAUUGUAAAGUGCUUUCAGCAGGGAAGAAGGAAGUGACGGUACCUGCAGAAGAAGCGACGGCUAAAUACGUG
RNAcentral lists this ribosomal RNA (463 nucleotides) under uncultured bacterium. Its description in RNAcentral is "partial 16S ribosomal RNA". It matches the Rfam family "Bacterial small subunit ribosomal RNA", at positions 28 to 507 of the family's 1533-position model. The record is from RNAcentral.